CACCAGAAUGUAUUCUCUAAUGUACACCAGAAUGUAUUCUCCAUUCAGAUACUGUGCAUCCGUGGACCUCCCUUUACAUGUCCAACCUAAAGGGACUAAGGAAACAUUGGGAGGCUGGUGAAUCAAUUAUAUUGGAAAAAGUAGAAAAUGGACUCGCCCAGGCCCAGCCACAGAAACAAUGGUUGAUAUAUUGUAGAUAAUUAUUGGGGAAGAAACCUUAUGAUAGGGGUUUGCUGCAGGGAUUUGAGUUGGUGGAUGGAUUUAAGAGGUUUUACUAAAGUAACAAAGUGGGCUAUGUAAUCUCAGGUGUGCAUUGCUAUGGUGAUUGCAGGUUGCUCUCCAGGAUGGCUGGGAUGAAGGAGCAGCAAUUUACUGAGGAGAAACCCCUACUGCAAGAACAAAGAGGACAAGACACUGAGAUGGAGAACUGUGAGACCCUGAUGCCCAUUGGAGACUGGAAGGUACUGAAACUGUUUUCUAUCUUUCCAAAGUACCGUUACUCUCUUUCUCUCUAUCCUUCUCUGGUUGUUGUUAUUACUGUCCAUCACAGGAUGCUGCUGAGGGGGAAACGGCUCAUAAUAAUGACCAGAACGGAGCAAAUAAAAUGGCAUCAGACACCUGGAAACCAUGUGUUUAACCUAUUUGAUACCAUUACACAACUUCCGCUUCUCACCACUAGCCAGUCCUCCCCAAUUAAGGUGCCUCCAACCUCCUGUGCUCUACACUCACCCAUGUAACCAUGGUGACUCAUUGGGAGGAGAAGAGGGAAGAAGAUGGGGAGAAGGAGAAGUGGAAUAGCCUAAUAUGAGUUGGGACUAAUAUGAGUUGGGACUAAUAUGAGUUGGGACUAAUAUGAGUUGGGACUAAUAUGAGUUGGGACUAAUAUGAGUUUGGACUACUACAUACUGAUGGAAUCAUUCACUAUCACACAGCAGCUCUCACACAGUGCAGAACCACAGUAGUUUUGAAGUCCUUAGAAGUUGAUUUCUUUACCGUGAUGUUCAGAGUCUAUUUUAACAUGAAUCCACGUAGCGAUGAAAUCAGAGACAUGACUAAUCCUUUCUCCCCUCUGUCUGAUACCUCCAGUGUCACCUCCCCCCUCUCUCACCUCCCCCUCUGCCCCCCUCUUCCCCCCUCUCUCACCCUCUCAACUCAAUUAAUUUCAAAUGGAUUUAUUGGCAUGGAAAACAUACUGUAUGUUACAUUGCCAAAGCAAGUGAAAUCGAUAAUAAACAAAAGUGGAAUAAACAAUCGAAAAUGAACAGUAAACAUUACUCACAAAAGUUCCAAAGGAAUAAAGACAUUUCAAAUGUCAUAUUAUGGCUAUGUACAGUGUUGUAACUAUGUGGAUAUAGUUAAAGUACAAAAGGGAAAAUAAAUAAACAUUAAUAUGGGUUUGUUCUUCAAUGGGCACCCUUUUCUUGUGGUUUGUUCUUCACCGGUUGCCGUUUUCGUGUGGCAACAGGUCACAAAUAUUGCUGCUGUGAUGGCACACUAUGGUAUUUUACCUAAUAGAUAUGGGAGUUUGUCAAAUUUAGAUUUUUUUUCAAAUACUUUGUUGGUCUGUGUAAUCUGAGGGAAAUAGGUCUCUAAUAUGGUCAUACAUUUGGCAGGAGGUUAGGAAGUGCAGCUCAGUUUCCACCUCAUUUUGUGGGCAGUGUGCACAUAGCCUGUCUUCUCUUGAGAGCCAGGUCUGCCUACGGCAAGGCUAUGCUCACUAAGUCUGGCUAUGCUCACUAAGUCUGGCUAUGCUCACUAAGUCUGGCUAUGCUCACUGAGUCUGUACAUAGUCAAAGCUUUCUUUAAUUUUGGGUCAGUCACAGUGGUCAGGUAUUCUUCCACUGUGUACUCUCUGUUUAGGGACAAGCAGCAUUCCAGUAUUUUUUAUUUUUUUGGUUAAUUCUUUCCAAUGUGUCAAGUUGUGUUGCUGUCCUGGGGCUCUGUGGGGUGUGUUUGUGAACAGAGCCCCAGGACCAGCUUGUUUAGGAGAUUCUUCUCUAGAUGAAUCUCUCUCCAGGUGAUGUCUUAUUUAUGGAAGGUUUAGAAAUCGCUUCCUUUCAUGUGGUUGUAGAAUAUAACUGCUCUUUUCAGGAUUUUGAUAAUUAGUGGGUAUCGUCCUUAUUCUGCUCUGCAUGCAUUGUUGGGUGUUUUACAUUGUACACGUAAGAUGUUUUUGCAGAAUUCUGCAUGCAGAGUCUAAAUUUGGUGUUUGUACCAUUUUGUGAAUUAUACGUUGGUGAGCGGCCACAGACCUCACAACCAUAAAUGGCAAUGGGUUCUAUAACUGAUUCAAGUAUUUUUUAUCUAGAUCCUAAUUGGGAUGUCGAAUUUUAUGUUCCUUUUAAUGGCAUAGAGAGCCCUUCUUGCCUUGUCUCUCAGAUCGUUCACAGCUUUGUGGAAGUUACCUGUGGUGCUGAUGUUCAGGCCGAGGUAUGUAUGGCUUUUUGUGUGCUCUUGGGCAACGGUUGUCUAGAUGGAAAUUGAAUUUGUGUUCCUGGCAACUGGAUCUUUUUUUGGAACACCAUUUCCUGUCAGGGCCCAAGUCUGACAUAAUCUGUGCAGAAGAUCUAGGUGCUGUUGUAAAUGUUUGUAUGUGUGUUUUUCUGAGGGUGUCCUUGCAUGUGUGUGUGAUGACAGUGCAUAUGAUUAUGGGUGAGAGAACGAGGUUGUGUAUUUAAUGAAGACUGGAAAUGUUGAGUCAGCCGGGGAGUGGGUUAAUCCCUCUCUUCCGCAGAAAAGGGGGACCGAGCUAGAAAGAGACAUGGAGAGUUUACAGUUGAGUCAGCUUGCUAAGUUCUCUGUACACAGGAAAGGCGGAGACCGAAGAGAGAAAGAACAAAUGGAUGUUGUGGAGAAUAUGGACAAUGGUUGCUGGUGUGAAUAAAUGUAACCUACAGCAGAGAGAGCCACUGCUGCCAUAUUGAUCUGUAGUCAGCACUGUUCCAUUAUCCCCUGCUUUCUGAGUAGACGCACGCACAUACAGUACUCUGCUCCGCUCUACUGGUGACCUAUGGCCACUUACUGUCCCAUCAAUGUCCCAUUACACAGAGGCAUUGAUGAGCCUACUGGCUGCUGCUGCUGCUGCUGCACAGAGACAGAAAGAGACGUCACUGUUCUCUGUUUAAUAUUUUUAAUGUAAAAAUACAUCUCACUGCAUGCUAAGCAUUUGUUUAUGCAUCACCGCCCAUGACUGUUAAGGAGCGAUAAGAGAGAUGGGAAAGGAAAGGAGACAGGGAGGACAGGGUCAAUGAGAGAGAGAGGGAGCGAAAGAGAGAGGGAGAUAAGCCAUCUUCUCCUGAAACAGAGCAAUGGUGCUGAUGAGAGAGCAAAACAAGAGCACAGCAGAGAACCUGCUGUGACUGACAGAGCAGCCAACCAAUCAUGUGCAGAGAGGCAGCACUGGCAGCGAAUAGGCUUGAGUUCUGCACGCCCUCAUGGUGGGGUUUAUAAGGUGUCGGGGGAAGAGAGGGGGCACAGCACUGCAGCGCUCAGCCCCAUAGCAGGACGAGGCUAGACGAGACAAGACAAGACGAGACAAAGCGACCACCAGCAGAAUCCCCCAGCAGGCUCUGCUCUAAAGCCAGGACCUAGUCCCACUACAGGAGAGGACUGGCUCUGUCUGUUUGUCUGUCUGUCUGUCUCGUCUCCACUGGCUGCUCCUCCUCCUCCUCCUCGUGCCAUUCUUCCACCUCUUUCUCCUCCACCACUG
Molecule: long non-coding RNA, 3709 nt
Organism: Oncorhynchus kisutch (coho salmon)
Lineage: Eukaryota; Metazoa; Chordata; Actinopteri; Salmoniformes; Salmonidae
Source: Ensembl